GCCGGGGUGAUGGAAUUUGGUAGACAUAGCGGACUUAAAAUCCGCUUCUCUGAACAAGGGAGUGCCGGUUCGAGUCCGGCCCUCGGCA
This 88-nucleotide transfer RNA is filed under the name Caldifarciminota bacterium SM1_77. Its description in RNAcentral is "tRNA-Leu". It matches the Rfam family "tRNA". From Rfam's summary of the family: Transfer RNA (tRNA) molecules are approximately 80 nucleotides in length. Their secondary structure includes four short double-helical elements and three loops (D, anti-codon, and T loops). Lineage: Bacteria; Pseudomonadati; Caldifarciminota. The record is from RNAcentral.